This 775-nucleotide ribosomal RNA is filed under the name uncultured Gammaproteobacteria bacterium. RNAcentral's name for it is "bacterial SSU rRNA". It matches the Rfam family "Bacterial small subunit ribosomal RNA", at positions 57 to 826 of the family's 1533-position model. The record is from RNAcentral. Lineage: Bacteria; Pseudomonadati; Pseudomonadota; Gammaproteobacteria.
GCAAGNUCGAAACGGUAACAGCGGAAAGCUUGCUUCCGGCUGACGAGUGGCGGACGGGUGAAUAAUACAUAGGAAUCUGCCCUGUAGUGGGGGACAACCUGGGGAAACUCAGGCUAAUACCGCAUAAUCUCUACGGAGGAAAGGGGGCUUCGGCUCUCGCUAUUGGAUGAGCCUAUGUCUGAUUAGCUUGUUGGUGGGGUAACGGCCUACCAAGGCGACGAUCAGUAGCUGGUCUGAGAGGAUGAUCAGCCACACUGGGACUGAGACACGGCCCAGACUCCUACGGGAGGCAGCAGUGGGGAAUAUUGGACAAUGGGGGAAACCCUGAUCCAGCAAUGCCGCGUGGGUGAAGAAGGCUCGCGGGUUGUAAAGCCCUUUCAGUAGCGAGGAAAAGCUGAGUGUUAAUACCACUCAGUCUUGACGUUAACUACAGAAGAAGCACCGGCUAACUCUGUGCCAGCAGCCGCGGUAAUACAGAGGGUGCGAGCGUUAAUCGGAAUUACUGGGCGUAAAGCGCGCGUAGGCGGUUUGAUAAGUCGGAUGUGAAAGCCCCGGGCUCAACCUGGGAAUUGCAUUCGAUACUGUCAGGCUAGAGUAUGGUAGAGGGAAGUGGAAUUCCAGGUGUAGCGGUGAAAUGCGUAGAUAUCUGGAGGAACAUCAGUGGCGAAGGCGACUUCCUGGACCAAUACUGACGCUGAGGUGCGAAAGCGUGGGGAGCGAACAGGAUUAGAUACCCUGGUAGUCCACGCCGUAAACGAUGUCAACUAGGUGUUGG